GCCCAGGUGGCGGAAUUGGUAGACGCGCUAGGUUGAGGGCCUAGUGGGAAGUUAUUCCCGUGGAGGUUCGAGUCCUCUCCUGGGUA
This 86-nucleotide transfer RNA is filed under the name Rubinisphaera sp. RNAcentral describes it as "tRNA-Leu". It matches the Rfam family "tRNA". Rfam says of the family: Transfer RNA (tRNA) molecules are approximately 80 nucleotides in length. RNAcentral also lists the same sequence under 1 other name. The record is from RNAcentral. Lineage: Bacteria; Pseudomonadati; Planctomycetota; Planctomycetia; Planctomycetales; Planctomycetaceae.